Molecule: long non-coding RNA, 5952 nt
Filed under: Phaseolus vulgaris (common bean)
Lineage: Eukaryota; Viridiplantae; Streptophyta; Magnoliopsida; Fabales; Fabaceae
Description: long non-coding RNA (PVUL_LNC002065)
Source: RNAcentral
UUUUGACCUAUAUAUGAGUGUACAGUUACAAUCUGAAUCACUUAACAGGAAGUGCCAUAGAAUUAAAUAAAUGGAUAUUCAUGCAAUUAACAAAAGAAUAGAUACUAGUGAUCUGAACAUUUUUCUCUGAUUCUGACAUUUAAACUUUAUAAUUAAUUACAACUAUAGCGUUAUACAGAGGAAAAAAUUGAGCAUUUAUGAGACAAGAAAGUAUAAGUCUACAGUUACUGCUUGAAGAACGACAUCGUCCACCCGACAGUAGUGUUGACAGAAGUGAUGAUCUCCAAACUACAUCUAUGGCACUAGUAUAGUAAUUUAAUUUUGUCUUCUGGUGUUACAAUAUCUGUUCAGGGAGUGAGAAAAGAGUAAUGAAAGGUGAAAGAAUAUUGUAUUUAAUUUGUUGAUUACAAUAUACAUCUAUAGUCAAAACCUGACAGUAUAUAAUCCUACAAUUAAAACUCGGUAUCACGACACUACAACAAAUAAGGUAACAAUCAAUGCUGAUAACCAUUGAUUGAUAAUUACAAUAAUUACAAGGAUUAACACAAUCAAAGGUAAUCAUUGGAAUCCACAUAUUAAGAGAUCUUGUCUUUAAUUUCCCCUUUCAAAUUGAUGGGUGAGGGAGUCACCCCAAGUUUGUCUCUGAGUUGGCUGAAUCGUGUAUGAGUUAAUGCUUUAGUGAGACAGUCAGCUAUUUGAUCAACUGAUGGAACAUAGGCUACAACAAUCUCAUUUUGCAGUACUUGGUCUCUGAUGUAGUGCACAUCAAUUUCAAUGUGUUUGGAUCGAGUAUGCAUAACUGGAUUUGAAGCUAGUGCCUUAGCACUCUCAAGUUAUCACACCACAAUGUUGGUUUUCUUGGCAGGGAGAGUUUCAAUUCAGCAAGAAGUGAACGAGUCCAUGUUAUUUCAGUAGCUAAGUCAGCCAAUGCUCUAUAUUCUGACUCUGUACUGGAUCUUGAGACUACCUUUUGCUUCCUCGAAGACCAAGAAACAAGUGUUUCACCAAGGAAGACACAUUGACCAGCCAUAGAUUUUCUAUCAUCCACACUUGUUGCCCAGUCUGCAUCUGAGAAUCCUACCAAGUCCAAGUCAGUUGAUGGUUUGAUGUGUAGGCAGUGUUGAAUGGUACCUUGAAGAUAUCUCAAUAUUCUUUUUAUGCCUCGCCAGUGAUCUAUAGUGGGAGAGCUCAUGAAUUGGUUGAGCUUGUUAACUGAGAAUGCUAUAUCGAGUCUUGUGUUUAUUAAGUAUUGCAAAGCUCCUAUAGCUUGUCUGAAUAUGGUUGGGUCUUGUAAUUUCUCCCCUUCAGUUGUAAACUGCUUGCUGGUUAUCAUAGGUGUUGGACAAGAUGAAGUAUUUUCCAUUUUGAAUUUUCUCAUAAUGUCUCCUAUGUAUUUUGAUUGCUUCAAGUACAUGCCAGAUGCAUCUCUUUGAACUUCUAUGCCUAAGAAGUAGUGUAGUGGACCAAGAUCUUUAAGUGAAAACACAUCAUUGAGUUGUUUGAUGAAGGAUUCCAAGAACUUGGUGUUGUUCCCUGUGAUAAUUAUAUCAUUCACUUAUAUAAGUAGGAAGUUAAUGUAAUUUGUACCUCUUGAAGUGAAUAGUGAGGAAUCACUUUAUGUGUUCUUGAAACCCCAGCUGACUAAGGCAUUUUUUAGGCUAUCAAACCAGACUCUUGGAGCCUAUUUCAAUCCAUAAAUUGCCCUGGAUAACUUGCAAACAUGUUCAGAUUUAGUUGAGUCUACAAAUCCUUCUAGUUGAUGCAUAAACACAGUUUCUUUGAGAUAGCCAUUAAGAAAUGCAUUGUUUAUGUCUAGCUAUUUGACCUCCUAAUUGAGGUGUACUGCAAUUGAGAGUAUGAUCCGAACUGUACUGGCCUUGACAACUGGACUGAAGGUCUCUUCAUAGUCCAAUCCAGUUGCUUGUUGAAAUCCUUUUGCUACUAAUCUUACAUUUCUCCUUUCAAUUGUUCUAUCUGCUUUGUACUUGGUCUUGAAGACCCAUUUAGAACCAAUGAUGUUCCUGAGUGAGGUCGGGCUGUCAGGCUAAUACCCGCUGACUUGGAAGUUGCUUUUGCUGGUCUUCCCGAUGGCUGGCCAAAAUCAGAAGAGUUUUUGGCCUUGAUAUGGUACCAAGAGCCAAGUUUGAUUUGACAUGAGUGCCUGAUACUCUUUUUUCCAUAACUUCUUUUCACUGUGGUCUUGAGUGCUUCUGUGACAUUUUCUGGUUCCUUCUCAUCUGUGGUAGUUUCAACAAACCCGACACAUGGCUUCUUUGCCUUAUGCAUUUCAGCUUUGCUCCUGGUCCAAUGAGUGUUGAUGUUUGGUUCAACAAAAUCUUGGUGAUCUCCAGCAACUGUUUCUGUGAGAUCAGGAAUUUGAAUGUUGUUUGGUGAAUUAUUUUCAAAAAUUGGACUGCUCCUUGUUGAAUUAUUUGCAGCCUAAUCUCUGCUAAAAUUAACUGCACUCUCAGUUGGAUUGGUUGUUCUUGUUCAUCACCAAGAUUGUUAUCAUCUGGAAGUGUGGCUGCUCCAAUAUGUGGGUUACCUGUAGUAUGCAAAGAAAAAGGGGGAGAUGAACUCUCAGUUAGUGUUUUCAAGGGACUUCUUGUAUUAAGAAACCCAUCAUGGAAUGGAAAAUGUUCUUCAUUGAAAACAACAUGUCUUGAAGUGAAGAUUCUUCCAUGAGAAUUUAUGCAUUUGUAUCCUUUGUGAGAGUUACUAUACCCCAAGAACACACAUCUGGUUGUGUGGAAUUGUAGUUUGUGCUAAUUAUAGGGUUUAAGACAGGGAUAGCAAGCACACCCAAAGGGUUUUAAGGAAUUGUAGUUAGGUUCCUUUUGAAAAAGCAAUGAGUAAGGGCUUUCAUUUUGAGUGACUAGAGAGAGCAAUCUGUUUAUGAGAUAAAUUGUUGUGGAGAAAGCUUCCCACAAAAAAUGUAAGGGCAUUUUGGCUUGUGCUAGCAAUGUCAAGCCAAAUUCAGCAAUGUGUCUGUGUUUUCUCUCAGCUUUACCAUUUUGUUGUGAUGUGUAAGGGCAUGACAUUCUGAAUUGCAUACUUCUAUUGCACGAUUUUGCACAACUUUGUAUUCACUACCACCAUCACAUUGGAUUGUCUUAAUUCUCUUGUUAAAAAAACUUUCUACCAUGUUCUAAAAUUGAAUAAAGGUUUGUACAGUAUCCGAUAUCUGUUUCAGAGGAUAAAUCCAAGUAAAUCUACUAAAAUCAUCAAUGAAGUGAACAUAAUAUUUGAAACCAGAAGAAGAUAUUAUUGGUGCAGGAUCCCAGACAACAGUAUGAACUAAUUCAAGGAUUUCCUUGGCAUGAGAGGAAUGUUUUGAAGGGUAAAAAAUGCAUUUUGCCAUAUUGACAAGCCUCACAAAAGUUAAAAUGAUCUCUAAGUGAUAAUUUCACAUUACAACUUUUCAAGAAUCUAUCUAGGACUGUAUUAUUUGGAUGACCAAGCCUUCUAUGUCAACUCUCCUUGACAGAUACAUAAGCACACGAGUCCCUUUCAGUCCUUGAGAGUUGAUACAAGCCAUCUUUAAGUGUCCCUUUUAAAAUUGGCUUCCGAGUUAACUUGUCCUUCACAAAGCAACAAUUUGCAUCAAACUCAACAAGAAUGUUAUUGUCAACAGUUAAUUUUGACACACUUAAUAGAUUUUUUGUAAUGUUGGGCACAUAUAAGACAUCAUGUAAGUUGAGUGAGUUUAGUUUUGAGGAACUUGUGGCAACAAUCUACAAUUUCUCACCACUUCCAACUAUUAACGAGUUCUUACCACAAUGAUCUGCUAGAUCCUCAAAUUUUUCAGUUUGGUGUGUCACAUGAUUGCUUGCACCACUGUCAAAGUACCAAUCAUAAUCUUGAGCAGCGCUUUGUGAGGCUAGAAAGGCAUUGUGUGCUCCUUGUUUGUCACUGUCUGCUGAAUAAUUUGAGUUUGAAUAAGACUUAUCAAACAUGUACCAACAGUUUACAGUUGUGUGCCUAACCUUAUUGCAAACUUGGCAUGUUGGUUUAGACAUUCUUCCUCUUCCUUUGCCUCCUCUCCAACUUCUGAAGUUAGAGCAUCUCUCGUUGUUGUUUGUGUUGAAUUUGUUAUCUUUGUAAUCAAUUUUAUUAGCAACAUUUUUUAUGCAUCAAGAGAGAGUUUGGUAAGACCAUUCAGUUGAUCAAGUAUACUCUCAAAGGUUAGUAAUUGGGCCUGCAGAUCAACCCAAGUGACUAGUUUGAUCAGAUAGUUUGACCACCACAUGGUUGUAUUCAGAAUCCAAACCAUUUAGGGUUUGAAUGAUUAGAUCUGAGUUGGAAAUGGGACUCCCUGCAAGUUUAAGUCUGUCAUCGAGAUUCUUCAUCUUGACCAAAUAUUCCUCCAUCUUCAUUUCUCAUUUCCAGAUGCUGUGAAACUCAGAUUUAAGGUAGGUGAUUCGAGAUCUUGUGUGUGCACCGGCUAGGCUUUGGGUUUCAUCCCAAAGUUGUUUUGAGGUUUCACAGUGCAACAAUUGUGUUGCUAUUUCAAUAGUCGUUGAAUUCAUCAACCAUCCAAGGAGUUGUGAAUCAUGAGCCUGCCAAUCUCCAAAUGCGAGUUUUGGUUUCUUGCUUGAAUCUGCAAAAACUAUGAAUUCUUCAAGACACUCCUUUGUCCCUAGUGACGGAAGAGGCCCAAGCACAAGCCACAUGCAAGCCCACCAAAGGGUAGAUUUGGGCCAACCACUAGAGUUAAAGCCAAGAGGAUCCAAGAAGACUGGGAUAUGGCUAUUGACAACAAAGAAACUUCCCAAUACAUGAUCAAAGAGGCCAAAACUCUAGUGUAGAGUAGACUUUAAUUUCUUGUCAAAAUUAUAUUAAGAAUUUUAUUUGUAAUUUUUCCUUAGAUGAAAUUUGGCACCUAAAAACCAACCUUGGUUAAAUUAGGAUUUCUAAAACACCUAAUUUUAACCAAGGCCGGUUAUGAUUAACCAAGACACAUUUUCCACAUGUUCCAUAUUUAACAUGUGCUAAACGUUUUCCAUCACAUGUUAAAUAUGCUUCAUGUGCUCCAUGUGCUAAGUGGAAAUUAGGCGCCGAUUUCAAAUUCUUUUUCAUUUGAAUUUCCCUCCAAUUCUCUUGUUCAAAUCCAGCCCUCACUUGCUAUAUAAUGAGGUGCUUGGGUCAUGUAAAUUCAAGAUUAAUAUAAUUAGUGAAUUGCUGCCCAAAAUAUGAGCCAAUUUCACUUCUUGUCCAAAAGCUCUUAGGUUAGGCUAUUGAUCUUCAAUUCUCACCUUGCCAAACCACUCUUCUUCCCUACCUAACAUGCACCUUCAAGGCCACCACACCUCUUAGGAGGGCCUUGCACGUCAACCUCCAUUGUGCUUUCGCCGAUCAUCAACAAAUUCUACAAUUCAUGAAGGCACUUCUCCAUCUCCUAGCAUGUGCCCAUCGAGCCUGCAACCUUUGACUGUAGAAAUCACCAAGGAUUUUCAUGAUGGAUAGUUGUCUCUGUCCAACUUGACAGAUACAGUGAAUGGAAGACAAUUUUGGGAUUUUGAAUCUGCAGCGGAUGUCAUGAUUUGAAUUGGAUCAAAAGCUCUGAUAUCAAGUGAGAAAAGAGUAAUGAAAGGAGAAAGAAUAUUGUAUUUAAAUUUGUUGAUUACAAUAUACAUAUAUAGUCAAAACCUGACAAUAUAUAAUCUUACAAUUAAUACCCAGUAUCACGACACUACAACAAAUAAGAUAACAAAUAAGAUAACAACAAAUAAGAUAACAAUUAAUACCCAGUAUCACGACACGACAUUACAAUAAUUACAAGAAUUCACACAAUUAAAGACAAUCAUUGGAAUCCACAUAUUAAGGGAUCUUGUCUCUGAUCAGGGAUUAUCCCAUACCCUUUUUAAUUUCCUGCAAUUAUCAAACAAAGUAAAUGCCGUAACAUAAGCUUUAUGGCAAUCCACUCACAUCUGCUAGAACAUACCACAUGAG